RNAcentral lists this ribosomal RNA (404 nucleotides) under uncultured organism. Its description in RNAcentral is "bacterial SSU rRNA". It matches the Rfam family "Bacterial small subunit ribosomal RNA", at positions 355 to 775 of the family's 1533-position model. The record is from RNAcentral.
UGGGGAAUCUUGCACAAUGGGCGAAAGCCUGAUGCAGCAACGCCGCGUGCGGGAAGAAGGCCCUAGGGUUGUAAACCGCUUUCAGUAGGGAAGAAAAUGACGGUACCUACAGAAGAAGGUGCGGCCAACUACGUGCCAGCAGCCGCGGUGACACGUAGGCACCAAGCGUUAUCCGGAUUUAUUGGGCGUAAAGAGCUCGUAGGCGGUUUGGUAAGUCGGGUGUGAAAACUCAGGGCUCAACCCUGAGAGGCCACUCGAUACUGCUAUGACUAGAGUACGGUAGGGGAGCGGGGAAUUCAUGGUGUAGCGGUGAAAUGCGCAGAUAUCAUGAGGAACACCAGUGGCGAAGGCGCCGCUCUGGGCCGUAACUGACGCUGAGGAGCGAAAGCGUGGGUAGCAAACAG